AGAGGGUGGCCUGCCAUACUGGGAUUGAGAUACGGCCCAGACUCCUACGGGAGGCAGCAAAUCGGAAUAAUCCACAAUGGGAGAAAUCCUGAUGGUGCGACGCCGCGUGAGCGAUGACGGCUUUCGGGUUGUAAAGCUCUGUGUUAUGGGAAGAAAAUCUGGCGGACUAAUAAUCCUCCGGCCUGACGGUACCAUAAUAGAAAGCCCCGGCUAACUACGUGCCAGCAGCCGCGGUAAUACGUAGGGGGCAAGCGUUGUUCGGAAUCACUGGGCGUAAAGGGCGUACAGGCGGCCAUAUAAGUCGGAUGUGAAAUCCUCGGGCUCAACCCGAGAUCUGCACUCGAUACUGCAUGGCUUGAGAUCAGGGGAGGAGAGUGGAAUAUGUGGUGUAGCGGUGAAAUGCGUAGAUAUCACAUAGAACACCGGUGGCGAAGGCGGCUCUCUGGCCUGAUUCUGACGCUGACGCGCGAAAGCUAGGGUAGCGAACGGGAUUAGAUACCCCGGUAGUCCUAGCCGUAAACGAUGGGUACUAAGUGUAGAAGGUCAUUGACCCCUUCUGUGCUGUAGCUAACGCAUUAAGUACCCCGCCUGGGGACUACGGCCGCAAGGCUAAAACUCAAAGUAAUUGACGGGGGCCCGCACAAGCGGUGGAGCAUGUCGCUUAAUUCGAAGCAACGCGAAGAACCUUAUCCAGUGGCUUGACAUCCUCUGACAACCGUGGAAACACGGCUUUCCCUUCGGGGACAGAGUGACAGGUGCUGCAUGGCAGUCGUCAGCUCGUGUCGUGAGAUGUUGGGUUAAGUCCCGCAACGAGCGCAACCCCUGUCUCUAGUUGCCAGCGCGUAAUGGCGGGGACUCUAGAGAGACUGCCGGCGAUAAGCCGGAGGAAGGCGGGGAUGACGUCAUGUCCUCAUGGCCCUUAUGCCCUGGGCUGCACACGUGCUACAAUGGUCGGUACAGAGGGUCGUGAAACCGCGAGGUGGAACCAAUCCCUUAAAGCCGGUCUCAGUUGGGAUUGUAGUCUGCAACUCGACUACAUGAACGUGGAAUCGCUAGUAAUCGCGAAUCAGCAGGUCGCGGUGAAUACGUUCCCGGGCCUUGUACACACCGCCUGUCACACCACGAAAGUCGGUGGCAUUCGAAGCCUGUGAGCUAACCCUUCGGGGAGGCAGCAGUCGAAAGUGAAACCGAUGAUUGGGGUGAA
This 1204-nucleotide ribosomal RNA is filed under the name metagenome. RNAcentral describes it as "bacterial SSU rRNA". It matches the Rfam family "Bacterial small subunit ribosomal RNA", at positions 295 to 1484 of the family's 1533-position model. The record is from RNAcentral.